RNAcentral lists this ribosomal RNA (454 nucleotides) under uncultured organism. Its description in RNAcentral is "partial 16S ribosomal RNA". It matches the Rfam family "Bacterial small subunit ribosomal RNA", at positions 329 to 799 of the family's 1533-position model. The record is from RNAcentral.
ACGUACACUCCUACGGGAGGCAGCAGUGGGGAAUAUUGGACAAUGGGCGAAAGCCUGAUCCAGCAAUGCCGCGUGAGUGAUGAAGGCCUUAGGGUUGUAAAGCUCUUUUACCCGGGAUGAUAAUGACAGUACCGGGAGAAUAAGCCCCGGCUAACUCCGUGCCAGCAGCCGCGGUAAUACGGAGGGGGCUAGCGUUGUUCGGAAUUACUGGGCGUAAAGCGCGCGUAGGCGGCUUUGUAAGUUAGAGGUGAAAGCCCGGAGCUCAACUUCGGAAUUGCCUUUAAGACUGCAUCGCUAGAAUCGUGGAGAGGUGAGUGGAAUUCCGAGUGUAGAGGUGAAAUUCGUAGAUAUUCGGAAGAACACCAGUGGCGAAGGCGACUCACUGGACACGUAUUGACGCUGAGGUGCGAAAGCGUGGGGAGCAAACAGGAUUAGAUACCCCUGUAGUCCCAUG